This 481-nucleotide ribosomal RNA is filed under the name uncultured bacterium. Its description in RNAcentral is "bacterial SSU rRNA". It matches the Rfam family "Bacterial small subunit ribosomal RNA", at positions 28 to 492 of the family's 1533-position model. The record is from RNAcentral.
GAUGAACGCUAGCGAUAGGCCUAACACAUGCAAGUCGAGGGGCAUCACAUGAGGCAGCAAUGCCGAUGGUGGCGACCGGCGCACGGGUGAGUAACACGUAUGCAACCUGCCUUCAACAAGGGGAUAACCCGUUGAAAAACGGACUAAUACCCUAUAAUACAGGGGUCCCGCAUGGGGAUAUUUGUUAAAGAUUGAUCGGUUGAAGAUGGGCAUGCGUUCCAUUAGCUGGUUGGUGAGGUAACGGCUCACCAAGGCAACGAUGGAUAGGGGAACUGAGAGGUUUAUCCCCCACACUGGUACUGAGACACGGACCAGACUCCUACGGGAGGCAGCAGUGAGGAAUAUUGGUCAAUGGACGCAAGUCUGAACCAGCCACGUCGCGUGAAGGAAGACGGCCCUACGGGUUGUAAACUUCUUUUGCAAGGGAAGAAAACGUGUGGGCUAAUAUCCUGCGCGGAUGACGGUACCUUGACAAGAAGCA